UACGUAGGGUCCGAGCGUUGUCCGGAAUUAUUGGGCGUAAAGAGCUCGUAGGUGGUGUGUCGCGUCGGAUGUGAAAGCCCGGGGCUUAACCCCGGGUCUGCAUUCGGUACGGGCAUGCUGGAGUUCGGUAGGGGAGACUGGAAUUCCUGGUGUAGCGGUGAAAUGCGCAGAUAUCAGGAGGAACACCGGUGGCGAAGGCGGGUCUCUGGGCCGAUACUGAUACUGAGGAGCGAAAGCGUGGGGAGCGAACAGG
This 253-nucleotide ribosomal RNA is filed under the name uncultured bacterium. RNAcentral describes it as "partial 16S ribosomal RNA". It matches the Rfam family "Bacterial small subunit ribosomal RNA", at positions 524 to 776 of the family's 1533-position model. The record is from RNAcentral.